Molecule: long non-coding RNA, 5454 nt
Organism: Anolis carolinensis (green anole)
Lineage: Eukaryota; Metazoa; Chordata; Lepidosauria; Squamata; Anolidae
Source: Ensembl
UGAUUUAUGUGGCUCAAAUGUUUCUGUUGACCAGCCUUGUUGACUCCCAGAAAUGUGACAGUUGGCAGGUCUGACACUCUGGAAGAAUCAUUCUGCGAUGAAAUCAGCAGCUGUGCAUGCUGAAAAAUUCAGUUUUUAAAUUUGUAUAAUUUAUUUUAUUUUAAGCUAUGUGUUUCUAGAAUGUGUGACUGUCGGCUUGCCAGUCAACGAGACAGCCUAAGGACAACCAUGGUUCAUCCCUCGAUAGCCUGCUGUGAUUCUGCUCUGACCUCUGAUUUUACCAGGACUCCUCAUAGCACAGCAUCCGAGUCUUAUGUGGAGCAUGAAUUGGAAAGAGUUCCAAAGACACACCUGCAGUAUUGGGAAAAGAAGAUGGGAGAGAAAAAAGGAGAUAUUUUCAAGGAACAACUACAUAUACUUGAGACAAGAGCAGCUUUGUUAGAACAAGGAAAGCAUAUCGAGGUAGAUUCCAUCUAUUCCAAUCCAAAGAUAAAAUUCAUUCAAUUUGUAUUUGUAUUUAGCUACUUGUGGUUAAACGUCCUUCACACAAAUGUGAUCUCUCCAGCUUGUACAACUCAAAAUAAGUUUUUGACACUUGAAAAAGAAAUAAUUUUUAAUUUGUGUAUCUGAAAUGUUUGUGCUAGGGGAGAGUAGUAGGUAUCAAUCUGUGAAACAGGAAAUUUUUAAAACCUAGCAAAGAUUUUCAUUACAGAUAUAAAAACAAUUUUGCUCUAAUUUUUCCCAGAACUUAAAAGGUCAACUGAGGGAUGCUCCCCUAUCCACGGACUUAAUAAAGCAAAGAAUUGCACAUGCGCAUCUGUUUAUCCAACAGUUCCUCCAAUUGAUGUUUGCAGCUUUUCUGCACUGUCGGGAUUAUUCAUGUUUCUAAAUUGUAAGGAUAAGUGUUUUAUCUUAUUUGAAGGAUGUAGCUGCAGGGGGCAAGUAAGAAGUAUGCCACCCUCCUCUAAUAUAUUUCAGUCAAUUUGUAGCAUUGAGGUAACUUAAAACUUCAGUUUAAAAACUUUAAAGAACCAGAUAAAGAAAGAACAGAGACCUUGGAAACUAGGUGGACAAAGAAGUUCACUAGUAUGAUGAAAUGUAGUGUUCUUUCUCUUUAAAUGACUGCUAGAUGUAUAUCCACGCCUUUCAAUUAGCACAUGCACAUUCCACGCAGAUCUAUCCUCUCAUGUCCUUUUUGGGAAUAGAGGAAUGCGCACACUGCCACCUAAAAGGAGAGCCUAAAUUUUGCCCUGAACAUCACAGACUGAGAGUUUUAGCACCUCAUCACACCGACAAUUAGAAAGCAGGGGAACGCGGAGGGAACCGUUUUGCCCUAUUCCCUACUGUCCUUCCCGGUCUUCUGGGAUGGUUGGCCAUCCCACAUCCGUUUCUGACCUUUCCCAUGCUUUCCCCGCUUUCUCCUCAUUUUAUUGAGUCUGAAAAUUGAGUCUUUUUUCCAUAUGGCAACACGGAUUCCCACGGGCAAUGAUUGGAAGUGGCCAUGCGCCAUGUCAUGGAUUCCAUGGGACUCCGUUUUGCUAGUAUGUCAAAACUGAGACAAGACAGAGAGAAGACAAUACGGGAUGAAGUUUUUAGUCUGGCCUAAUCUAGAUGGAAUCCAUCUGUGUUUUCAAAAUGAUUGAGGCAAAUUUAAUUGUCCUCAAUACUCAUCCACAGAAAACACACUCCUUUGUAAUCUUUAAAUGCCCACUAAUCUGAGAUAUAAACUGAAGAAAUAGAGGAAUUUUUCAAAUGCUUCUGAAAGUGGAAGAUUUAUCUUGAGAGACUUGGGAUAGUGUUCCCUACAUUCUCAAAUAAUGGCCUAAACCCAAUUGUUAGCACAACUGGAGUGGAUCUGCUGAAUCCUUGGAAAGUAGGAAAGUAAAAACUUAGGUACAUUUAAUUGUUUCAAUGUUUAUUUCAAUUAAAAAUUGUUACAUUCUGAAAUAAUAGGAUUGCGGGAAGAAUUCUAGAGGACUUUUAAAAUGUGCAUAGGAUACAUCAGUGUACUUAUUUGUCACUUAUAAUGUAUGUACAUAUUAACUUCUAAGAGACUUCAAAUGAAAAUAAAUCGCCUACAUGAUGAAUUCAGAAAUACUGGGCUACAAGGUACACGGUAAGUAUGAACAACUAUAGAAGCAAUUCUAUUUAACAUUCUCUUAUUUUAUUACCUUGUUCUAUAUGUGAUAAAAGAAAGACUCAGACCUUCAUUCACUUUAUUACAAAACAUGUAUGAACUUCACACAUUAUAUUCAAUUACUGGGAUCCUGUAGUUGUUGUUGCUAUGUGCCUUCAAGUAGUUUCUGAUUUAUGGUGAGCUUAAAGCAAACCUAUCAUGUUUUUGUUUUGCAAGAUUUGUUUGUGGGGAUGUCAUUGCCUUCCUGUGAGAGAGUGUGGCUUGCCUAAAGUCAUGCACUGGGUUUCCAUGGCAAAGUGAGGAUUUGAAUCUUUGUCUACAAAGUUGUAGUUCAACACUCAAACUACUACAUUACAUUGAUCCUCCUAUAUUUACAGCUUUUUAAUGCAACAGUCUUCCAAUGACAGCAAAUUCUAUUUCAAGGGAAAUUGGGGAAAAGCAGAAAUGUGUCACACUUUUUCCUUGAGCACACUGUGACUUUUUCCUUUGCUAAAUAUCUUCUAGGGACCUGCCAAAGUCCUUAGGAGGACACUGUAGAGGACAUUAUUGCUGUGCAUUGAGCUAGAAGGUAUUUAGCUGAAUCUGACUCUGCUCAUGCCCCCAUUAUCAUUUUGGGACUGAGGAGGUGUGGCAAACAUUCAAAGAUAUUCAAAACAUUCAGGAGAAAAACAUAACAAAGCAUGCAAAUCCUGUGCUGCUCUCUGAGCUCCUGCUUUAAACAUUUUCUCUUCUUCCUGUGCUAUCUCCCUUCUCGUAAAAGUCCUUUUGAACUCUUGGGGGGAUGUUUAAAGCAGGAGCUCAGAGACAAGGAAGAGGGGAAAUUAAGCUUUAACUUUCUCAGCUAACCCUUUGAUAGGCAAAACAAAAGCCUGACAGCACAGCAUAAGUUUCAGAAAGGCAAUUGAGAAAAUAGUCUUUCAGUGUUCAUGUUUCUUUGGAUUUGGUAAUGUAAAUCUCAAAAUAUCAAUUAAUACAACACAGACCAACACAUAUUUUGGUAUCACAAAUAUUAGACUGGUUCUGGGUAUGCUUGACUUACUGAUUUCAAAACAUGGCACCAGCUUCCACUUAUCAUUUCUAGUAUUUGAGAUAGAGAACAUAUGCUACCUACCAGUUGCCAUCUGCUUAUCCAUAGAGAAAGAUGAUAACCAUAUCUAAGAAAGUAGAGCCUGAAAAUCAAGACACAAUGAAUUUUUUGUUGUGCUGUGUAAUGUUGUUGCUUGUUCUGGGUCCACCUGACAUAAGAUUCUGAGCCUGGAAGUUGCUUUUUAUGAGUUCAGAUCAGGCAACGUGCAGACCAGGAGCUAUGCAUAUUCCUCAAUACUAUUUUUUCAGACCCUCCAAGUUUCCCCACAUGCUUUCUUUUCCCAAGUCACGAAUAUCACCUGCUGCAGCCUCAGUGCAUACAUUUGGCCAUUCUGCAGUCUUGGCUUUUUUUCAAUACAAGAAGUGAGAAUCUCAACUGACAUCAUAGGAAGGGGGCCUGAAAAUGAAAGAAAACAGUGAAUCCCCUUGAGGAUAUUAUUGACUAUUUUUUAUUUUGACUUUUUUUCCUGAUUGCAAUUUUUCUAAAAAAAUUUGUGGAAAGACAAAGUGGGGUAAGGCAGGUUAUUAGGUUCCUCAGAAAUGUCAGUACUCUUCCCAUUGCCUUAACAUUGCCCAUCUCUCAAUUAAAUCCUAAUAGUGAUAGUUAUGCUUAGAGAUAGUUUGACUUGUGUGAAUCUGGAUUAGAUGCUCCUUUAUUUUGGUAUUUUGGUUGCAUUGAUCUGUGAUGUAUUUUAACACUACAGAGUCAUCAUCUCAGCAUAUUCUAGCAACACUCACAGAGGGGAGCAUGCUGAUUCACUCCUACCCUCCCCAGUUGCAUCAUUUUUUUCACACAGGGAUUUAAUAGAAGAUCUUUCUGUACACAUGGAUGCCCCUGACACAUUGUGGAAUACCAAUGUAUUAUUUAUUUCUAUAACAUUGAAUUUGUUAUGGAAUUUAAAGGGCUAAAAUAGUAGCAGCUCUGGCAGGGAAUUAAUGUGAGAGUUCUGCAAAGUAAAGUCUGCAAAGGCUGUGAGUUUUAAAGGCUACUGUAAGUGUAUGUAUUACAUUGUAUGGAGCAAGAUUGCCAGACGUACAAGCUGGGUUUAGAAAAGGCAGAGGAACGAGAGACCAAAUUGCCAAUAACUGCUGGAGAACGGAGGAUGGCAGAGAAUUUCAGAAAAACAUCUGUUUCUGUUUAUUGACUAUUCUAAAGCCUUUGACUUUGUGGAUCAUAAUAAAUUAUGGCAAGUUCUUGGUGGUAUGGGGAUACCAAGUCACCUUGUCUGUCUCCUGAGAAAUCUGUUUAACAGCCAAGUAGCAAUGGUAAGAACAGACCAGGGAACAACAGACUGCUUCAAGAUUGGGAAAGGAGUACAGCAGGGCUGUAUGCUCUCACCCUACCUACUCAACUUGUAUGCAGAACAAAUCAUGUGAUGUGCGGGGCUUGAUGAAUCCAAGGCUAGAAUUAAGAUUGCUGGAAGAAACAUUAACAAUCUUAGAUAUGCAGAUGAUACCACUUUAAUGGCUGAAAGUGAGGAGGAGCUGAGGAGCCUUAUAACCAAGGUAAAGAAGAAAGUGAAAGCUGGGAUACAGUUAAACAUCAAGAAAACCAAGUUAAUGGCAACCAGACUGACUGUUAACUGGCAAAUAGAGGGAGAAAACAUGGAAGCAAUUACACACUUUGUAUUUUUAUGCGUGACUGCAGCCAGGAAAUCUGAAGACAUUUACUUCUUGGGAGCACAGCAAUGACCAAUCUUGAUAAAACACUUAACAGUAGAGACAUCACACUGGCAAUGAAGGUCUGCAUAGUUAAAACAAUGGUAUUCUGAUGCUUUUAAACUGUGGUGUUGGAGGAAAAUUCUGAAAGUGUCUUGGACCACAAGAAGAUCAAACCAGUCCAUACUGCAGAAAAUAAAGCCCAACUGCUCAUGGAGGGAAGGAUAUUAAAAGCAAAGAUGAAGUACUUUGGCCACAUAAUGAGAAGACAGGAAAGCUCGGAAAAGAUAAUGAUGCUGGGAAAAAAUGGAAAGAAAAAGGAAGAGGGGCCAAACAAGGACAAGAUGGAUGGAUGAUACCCUUGAAGUAACUGUCUCGACCUUGAAGGAGCUGGGGGUGUCAAUGGUCAACAGGAAGCUCGGGCAUGGGCUGUCCAUGAGGUCACAAUGAGUCUGAAGCGACUGAAUGAAACAACAAAAAAGUAUUUUAAUCAGUUUUUACUACGCUGUUACUAUUUAAUCAUGUUUUAACUUUUGUAUUGUGCUUUUUAAACUUUUUUAAAGUGUGGGAUU